CCUACGGGAGGCAGCAGUGAGGAAUAUUGGUCAAUGGGCUUACGCCUGAACCAGCCAAGUCGCGUGAGGGAAGACUGCCCUAUGGGUUGUAAACCUCUUUUGUCAGGGAGCAAUUGGCGCUACGUGUAGCGUUAUCGAGAGUACCUGAAGAAAAAGCAUCGGCUAACUCCGUGCCAGCAGCCGCGGUAAUACGGAGGAUGCGAGCGUUAUCCGGAUUUAUUGGGUUUAAAGGGUGCGUAGGCGGAAUGCCAAGUCAGCGGUAAAAUCGCGGGGCUCAACCUCGCUCCGCCGUUGAAACUGGUUUUCUUGAGUGAGCGAGAAGUAUGCGGAAUGCGUGGUGUAGCGGUGAAAUGCUUAGAUAUCACGAAGAACCCCGAUUGCGAAGGCAGCUUACUAAACUGUGACUGACAUUGAUGCUCGAAAGUGUGGGUAUCAAACAGGAUUAGAUACCCGAGUAGUC
Molecule: ribosomal RNA, 460 nt
Filed under: uncultured bacterium
Lineage: Bacteria
Description: partial 16S ribosomal RNA
Rfam family: Bacterial small subunit ribosomal RNA
Source: RNAcentral